AUUGAACGCUGGCGGCAUGCUUUACACAUGCAAGUCGAACGGUAACAGGGAGCUUGCUCCGCUGACGAGUGGCGAACGGGUGAGUAAUAUAUCGGAACGUACCCAAGAGUGGGGGAUAACGUAGCGAAAGUUACGCUAAUACCGCAUACGAUCUAUGGAUGAAAGCAGGGGACCUUCGGGCCUUGUGCUCCUGGAGCGGCCGAUAUCUGAUUAGCUAGUUGGUGAGGUAAAGGCUCACCAAGGCGACGAUCAGUAGCUGGUCUGAGAGGACGACCAGCCACACGGGAAGUGAGACACGGUCCAGACUCCUACGGGAGGCAGCAGUGGGGAAUUUUGGACAAUGGGCGCAAGCCUGAUCCAGCAAUGCCGCGUGAGUGAAGAAGGCCUUCGGGUUGUAAAGCUCUUUUGUCAGGGAAGAAACGGCUGUGGCUAAUAUCCACGGCUAAUGACGGUACCUGAAGAAUAAGCACCGGCUAACUACGUGCCAGCCGCCGCGGUAA
Molecule: ribosomal RNA, 500 nt
Filed under: uncultured bacterium
Lineage: Bacteria
Description: partial 16S ribosomal RNA
Rfam family: Bacterial small subunit ribosomal RNA
Source: RNAcentral